This 509-nucleotide ribosomal RNA is filed under the name uncultured bacterium. RNAcentral describes it as "bacterial SSU rRNA". It matches the Rfam family "Bacterial small subunit ribosomal RNA", at positions 1 to 476 of the family's 1533-position model. The record is from RNAcentral.
GUAGGCCGGUACUCCGAAUGCUCUAGAUUAGAGUUUGAUCAUGGCUCAGCCUUGAACGCUGGCGGCAGGCCUAACACAUGCAAGUCGAACGGUAACAGGAAGCAGCUUGCUGCUUUGCUGACGAGUGGCGGACGGGUGGGUAAUGUCUGGGAAACUGCCUGAUGGAGGGGGAUAACUACUGGAAACGGUAGCUAAUACCGCAAAACGUCGCAAGACCAAAGAGGGGGACCUUCGGGCCUCUUGCCAUCGGAUGUGCCCAGAUGGGAUUAGCUAGUAGGUGGGGUAACGGCUCACCUAGGCGACGAUCCCUAGCUGGUCUGAGAGGAUGACCAGCCACACUGGAACUGAGACACGGUCCAGACUCCUACGGGAGGCAGCAGUGGGGAAUAUUGCACAAUGGGCGCAAGCCUGAUGCAGCCAUGCCGCGUGUAUGAAGAAGGCCUUCGGGUUGUAAAGUACUUUCAGCGGGGAGGAAGGCGAUAAGGUUAAUAACCUUGUCGAUUGACGUU